UAGAAAACGAAAAUUCACUCAUAGUGAAC
Molecule: non-coding RNA, 29 nt
Filed under: Bombyx mori (domestic silkworm)
Lineage: Eukaryota; Metazoa; Arthropoda; Insecta; Lepidoptera; Bombycidae
Source: RNAcentral